GGGUGCGAUUAUAGCAGCACUAAAGAACAGGAUCCCAUCAGAACUCCGCAAUUAAACGUGCUUGGGGAGAGUAGUACUGGGAUGAGUGACCUCCUGGGAAGUCCUCGUGUUGCACCCC
This 118-nucleotide ribosomal RNA is filed under the name Zostera marina. The record is from RNAcentral. Lineage: Eukaryota; Viridiplantae; Streptophyta; Magnoliopsida; Alismatales; Zosteraceae.